RNAcentral lists this RNase P RNA (388 nucleotides) under Zoogloeaceae bacterium. RNAcentral describes it as "RNase P RNA component class A". It matches the Rfam family "Bacterial RNase P class A". From Rfam's summary of the family: Ribonuclease P (RNase P) is a ubiquitous endoribonuclease, found in archaea, bacteria and eukarya as well as chloroplasts and mitochondria. Its best characterised activity is the generation of mature 5'-ends of tRNAs by cleaving the 5'-leader elements of precursor-tRNAs. Lineage: Bacteria; Pseudomonadati; Pseudomonadota; Betaproteobacteria; Rhodocyclales; Zoogloeaceae. The record is from RNAcentral.
GGCGUCGUCCAGGCAGCCGCUGCCUGCGCUGGCAACAGGGCAGGGGGAGGAAAGUCCGGGCUUCACAGGGCAGGAUGCUGGUUAACGACCAGGCGUUAUAAGCCGCAAGGCAAAGGCGACGGAAAGUGCAACAGAGAAUAGACCGCCGAUGGCGUCGCAAGACGCACAGGCAAGGGUGAAACGGCAGGGUAAGCGCCUACCGCAGGACUGGCGACAGGACUGGCACGGCAAACCCCAUCCGAAGCAAGACCAAAUAGGGAAGCGUAAGGCGUUGCCCGCGCCGCUUCCGGGUAGGUCGCUUGAGCCAUGCAGUAAUGCAUGGCCUAGAGGAAUGGCUGCCAGAGGGGAAACCCUCGCACAGAACCCGGCUUAUCGGACGGCGCCCACU